CCAAGAAUCACAAAUAUUGCUUCUUUUCCUAUUAACUUUUUACCCCUCCAGAGUGGUCCUCUUGGUCUUCCAUCAUGGUAAAAUCUCACAACCCCUAAGAAACUUCUAGAAAACUGUGGGACCCAUGAUGUGGAACAAGAAUAAGAAGCUAAGUUUGAAGAGAUUUUUGGUAAUGGAGAAACAACUGAAAGGUGUUUAACUGAAACCAAUGAGGUGGAACAAGAAGAAGAGGCUAAGUUUGAGGAGAUUUUUUGCACUGGAGAAACAACUAAAAGGCGCUUAAGGAGAAAUAAAGAUGAGAUUUUUA
RNAcentral lists this long non-coding RNA (307 nucleotides) under Nicotiana benthamiana. RNAcentral's name for it is "long non-coding RNA (NBEN_LNC040901)". The record is from RNAcentral. Lineage: Eukaryota; Viridiplantae; Streptophyta; Magnoliopsida; Solanales; Solanaceae.